Molecule: long non-coding RNA, 511 nt
Organism: Tachysurus fulvidraco (yellow catfish)
Lineage: Eukaryota; Metazoa; Chordata; Actinopteri; Siluriformes; Bagridae
Exons: 2
Source: RefSeq, a predicted model, not a curated record
ACAAUUUUUAGCGACCGACGACAUUAUGUCUAAAAUUCGCUUACCAGGACUAAUAAGUAGAGUAAUUAAAGCUCUUUUCUUUAUACGUGUAAACACUAAGAGUGAGAAACCGUAAAACACUUUUGUUUUUAUGAUUUAAAAUGUUUUUCUUAUAAUUUUACCAUCAGGAUUUUGUAUUUCUGGCGAUUCGUGACAUUGUGUGUGAGCUGAGUCUGGAUCUAUUCAAGAAGUACAGGCCUUCUGUAAGAUAUCAGUGCAACUGACGUCAACAUCUAGUUCAACAGAGGACACCAAGGACAACACGUUUGCUUUCCUGGACUGUGCAGUUCUCAUAGGGACUGAUGGGAAGCCCCUCUCUCACUCACACACACACACACACACAUACCAAUGCCUGUUUGAUUCUCACCAGCCACUACAACACAAAUUGGGAGACAUCAGGACUACACCACAGGGUAGAAAGCCUCCCCACAUCAGCAGAAACCAAGAAUAAAGAAAUCGUCAUCUGAAAGCA